RNAcentral lists this ribosomal RNA (820 nucleotides) under uncultured Anaerovibrio sp. RNAcentral describes it as "bacterial SSU rRNA". It matches the Rfam family "Bacterial small subunit ribosomal RNA", at positions 36 to 736 of the family's 1533-position model. The record is from RNAcentral. Lineage: Bacteria; Bacillati; Bacillota; Negativicutes; Selenomonadales; Selenomonadaceae.
AUUGAGGAGGGCUUAACAUGCAAGUCUUAUACGCCCAAAGUUCUUCUCCGAGCUCAUAAAAGCUUAAAGGCAGAGCGGUGGCGAAGUGAAACGAGCCAUCACGCAUACAUAAAGUGAUUAUCAAGCAAAAUGUUUUGGGUGUUGAGCUUUGGAUAGUGGCGAACGGGUGAGUAACGCGUAGGCAAUCUGCCUUCUAGAUGGGGACAACAUCCCGAAAGGGGUGCUAAUACCGAAUGUUGUAAUUGGUUCGCAUGGACUAGCUACUAAAGGUGGCCUCUGAAUAUGCUACCGCUAGAAGAUGAGCCUGCGUCUGAUUAGCUAGUUGGAGGGGUAACGGCCCACCAAGGCUUCGAUCAGUAGCCGGUCUGAGAGGAUGAACGGCCACACUGGGACUGAGACACGGCCCAGACUCCUACGGGAGGCAGCAGUGGGGAAUCUUCCGCAAUGGACGAAAGUCUGACGGAGCAACGCCGCGUGAGUGAAGAAGGUUUUCGGAUCGUAAAGCUCUUUCGUUAGGGACGAACGUGCUCUUUGUGAAUAAUGAGGAGUAAUGACGGUACCUAAAUAAGAAGCCACGGCUAACUACGUGCCAGCAGCCGCGGUAAUACGUAGGUGGCAAGCGUUGUCCGGAAUUAUUGGGCGUAAAGCGCGCGCAGGCGGGAUAUCAAGUCUGUCUUAAAAGUGCGAGGCUCAACCUCGUGAGGGGACGGAAACUGGUAUUCUUGAGUGUCGGAGAGGAAAGUGGAAUUCCAAGUGUAGCGGUGAAAUGCGUAGAGAUUUGGGAAGAACACCAGUGGCGAAGGCGACUUUUCUGGGACGA